Molecule: ribosomal RNA, 789 nt
Filed under: uncultured bacterium
Lineage: Bacteria
Description: bacterial SSU rRNA
Rfam family: Bacterial small subunit ribosomal RNA
Source: RNAcentral
GACGGGUGAGUAACGCGUGGGAACGUACCCCUCGGUUCGGAAUAACUCAGGGAAACUUGAGCUAAUACCGGAUACGGCUGAGAGGCGAAAGAUUCAUCGCCGAGGGAUCGGCCCGCGUCCGAUUAGCUAGUUGGUGAGGUAAUGGCUCACCAAGGCGACGAUCGGCAGCUGGUCUGAGAGGAUGAUCAGCCACAUUGGGACUGAGACACGGCCCAAACUCCUACGGGAGGCAGCAGUAGGGAAUAUUGGACAAUGGGCGAAAGCCUGAUCCAGCCAUGCCGCGUGAGUGAUGAAGGCCUUAGGGUUGUAAAGCUCUUUCGUCAGGGACGAUAAUGACGGUACCUGAAGAAGAAGCCCCGGCUAACUUCGUGCCAGCAGCCGCGGUAAUACGAAGGGGGCUAGCGUUGUUCGGAAUCACUGGGCGUAAAGCGCAUGUAGGCGGGCCUUUAAGUCAGGGGUGAAAUGCCAAGGCUCAACCUUGGAACUGCCUUUGAUACUGGAGACCUUGAGUCCGGGAGAGGUGAGUGGAACUGCGAGUGUAGAGGUGAAAUUCGUAGAUAUUCGCAAGAACACCAGUGGCGAAGGCGGCUCACUGGCCCGGUACUGACGCUGAUAUGCGAAAGCGUGGGGAGCAAACAGGAUUAGAUACCCUGGUAGUCCACGCCGUAAACGAUGGAUGCUAGCCGUUAGGCAGCUUGCUGCUUAGUGGCGCAACUAACGCUUUAAGCAUCCCGCCUGGGGAGUACGGUCGCAAGAUUAAAACUCAAAGGAAUUGACGGGGGCCCGCAC